AUCCGAAAAAUUGGCAAACGAUCUUCCACUAACCUCUUCUAACAUAGUAUGAAUUUCAUCAUCAUUGUCAUGCUCUUCAUUUUCAUCUUCAUUGUAAAUAACUUCAUUGUCAUAUCUCAUUUGUGAUUGUUCUCCAUGGUAUAUCCAUUGCAUGUAACUUCCCAUUAUUCCCUUGAUCAAUAGGUGGUCAUACACUAUUUCUUGUGUUUGAAAAAACACAUUUAAACAAUCUUGACAUGGACAUCGAACUUUAGAAUUUCGAUCAAAGUGAGACCGAACAAGUUGCAUAAAAGAUUGGACACCCUCAACAUAUCUUUUAGAGAACUUAGGUUCAUGAAUCCAGCCUCUAUCCAUGAUCAAC
Molecule: long non-coding RNA, 361 nt
Filed under: Solanum tuberosum (potato)
Lineage: Eukaryota; Viridiplantae; Streptophyta; Magnoliopsida; Solanales; Solanaceae
Description: long non-coding RNA (STUB_LNC000855)
Source: RNAcentral